GUGUCAGCAGCCGCGGUAAUACGAAGGGUCCAAGCGUUGUUCGGAAUCAUUGGGCGUAAAGCGCGCGCAGGCGGAUCAGCAAGUCAGAUGUGAAAUCUCGAAGCUCAACUUCGAAACUGCGUCUGAAACUGCUAGUCUAGAGUGUCGGAGGGGGUAGGGGAAUUUCACGUGUAGGGGUAAAAUCCGUAGAGAUGUGAAGGAACACCGGGGGCGAAGGCGCCUACCUGGACGACUACUGACGCUGAGGCGCGAAAGCGUGGGGAGCAAACAGGAUUAGAUACCCUCGUAGUCC
This 292-nucleotide ribosomal RNA is filed under the name uncultured bacterium. RNAcentral describes it as "partial 16S ribosomal RNA". It matches the Rfam family "Bacterial small subunit ribosomal RNA", at positions 505 to 796 of the family's 1533-position model. The record is from RNAcentral.